CCUACGGGCGGCAGCAGUAGGGAAUCUUCCACAAUGGGCGAAAGCCUGAUGGAGCAACGCCGCGUGGGUGAAGAAGGUCUUCGGAUCGUAAAACCCUGUUGUUAGAGAAGAAAGUGCGUGAGAGUAACUGUUCACGUUUCGACGGUAUCUAACCAGAAAGCCACGGCUAACUACGUGCCAGCAGCCGCGGUAAUACGUAGGUGGCAAGCGUCAUCCGGAUUUAUUGGGCGUAAAGGGAACGCAGGCGGUCUUUUAAGUCUGAUGUGAAAGCCUUCGGCUUAACCGGAGUAGUGCAUUGGAAACUGGGAGACUGGAGUGCAGAAGAGGAGAGUGGAACUCCAUGUGUAGCGGUGAAAUGCGUAGAUAUAUGGAAGAACACCAGUGGCGAAAGCGGCUCUCUGGUCUGUAACUGACGCUGAGGUUCGAAAGCGUGGGUAGCAAACAGGAUUAGAUACCCCAGUAGUC
This 465-nucleotide ribosomal RNA is filed under the name uncultured bacterium. RNAcentral's name for it is "partial 16S ribosomal RNA". It matches the Rfam family "Bacterial small subunit ribosomal RNA", at positions 338 to 795 of the family's 1533-position model. The record is from RNAcentral.